GGAUUAGAUACCCUGGUAGUCCACGCCCUAAACGAUGUCAACUGGUUGUUGGGUCUUCACUGACUCAGUAACGAAGCUAACGCGUGAAGUUGACCGCCUGGGGAGUACGGCCGCAAGGUUGAAACUCAAAGGAAUUGAUGGGGACCCGCACAAGCGGUGGAUGAUGUGGUUUAAUUCGAUGCAACGCGAAAAACCUUACCCACCUUUGACAUGGCAGGAAGUUUCCAGAGAUGGAUUCGUGCCCGAAAGGGAACCUGCACACAGGUGCUGCAUGGCUGUCGUCAGCUCGUGCCG
This 294-nucleotide ribosomal RNA is filed under the name uncultured bacterium. RNAcentral describes it as "partial 16S ribosomal RNA". It matches the Rfam family "Bacterial small subunit ribosomal RNA", at positions 775 to 1067 of the family's 1533-position model. The record is from RNAcentral.